GACUAGUAGGUGGUGGAGGGUGGUGAAGAGAUAAAGUGGGACUAUAGAAUAGGUUGUGGUAGUGUUGGUGGUGAGGGGGAUGUGGAGUAGAUAAGGCUUAUAAUUUAGCGUGAUGGGUCUGUGUGUGUUAAAAUGGUAGUGGUGCGGAGGUCGAUUUCGGAUUUGUAAGGUUAUGGUUAAAAUGUGGGUGAUAAUAUAUCGUUAUGAGAGAGUGAGUGAGUGGUAUUGUAGUAUAUAGGAAGGCGGUGAUAGAAGAUGAAGAUGGUGAUAGGUUGAGAUGAGUAGGUGGAGAUGUGGUUGUGUAGCGAAUGGUGAAACUUAGUUUAUGUUCGUGAAGUUGCAGUGUGAAGGCAGGGGAAGGGGUGAUAGGGUUAUCAGGUUAUGUUCGGGUGGUUAAGAUUAUGGAUUAGGACGACGGGUUAAGGUUGUUAUAAGAGAUGGUGUUGAUAAUAAAACGACAUGAGAGUUAUGAAUAAAGGGUUUUUUUUUUGUUUAGUGGAGAAGGUAGUUAGUAAAUAUGGUAUUAUGUGGAGAUUGAAACAGUUAAAAUCGGUAGCUUGUGGCGAGUGUUGUGUAGCGGAUGCGAAGAGGUGAUGGCGGCAUUAGUGAAAUCUGAUGAAGGAGGAUAAUGUGAGUGUGAACGGAAUGAUAAGCAGGGAUAUUGUGAGAGACUGUGUAGUGCUUUUGAGAAAGUGUGUUGUGUGUAGGGUAGGAAAGUAAUAUGUAGGAUAAGAGAAAGAAAAGUGUUUAGAUUGUAGAGAGGAAAUGGUGAGCGGUAAUGGAGAGGGUGAGGUAUGUGUGGAGGUAUGUAUCUAAUGAAGUGUGUAAAUGGUAUGAUUGACAGGCGAAAUUAAAUGAUAAUAGAGUUUGAAUAAGUGUUGCGAAAACGCCGAGAAAAAAUAAAAAAUACUGUAGCGGUGAAAGGGAGUAUUGCGGACAAUGGAAAAUGAUGCUAGUAAAACGGCGAGAAGAAGAUGAAGUAGGGGCGCGGGAGGCGGCAAAGGGAGCGCGGUGAGAGUGGAGAUGACGCUGAAACGUUAACAAGACAGGAAGAUGAAGCGAUAAUCGGUGGUAAGAGAUAAGGGGAAAAGGCAAAGGCAUUAAGAAAACAACCGGCAUGUAUAUGCAAAAUAAACAUA
This is a long non-coding RNA of Nematostella vectensis (starlet sea anemone), 1139 nucleotides long. RefSeq lists it as uncharacterized. The transcript is spliced from 2 exons. The record is from RefSeq and is a predicted model, not a curated record. NCBI's taxonomy places the organism in Eukaryota, Metazoa, Cnidaria, Anthozoa, Actiniaria, Edwardsiidae.